AUAUAUUUGCCGUCUAAUUGCUGAUUCUGCUGUUCGCAAUUGAAAAUUGCCCAUCUAAUCUUCUCUCUCUCGUCCACAUAUUUUUGAUUCAGCUAUUAAGGAAGAAAUGUAAUCAUUUUGCCAAGGGUAUACAAGAAGAGCCAUGUAAAAUCAUUACAAAAGCAUCCGACAUCGUUCAGCGUAUGGGAUGAUACUGUGUAAUACCUCGUUUUGGUGGCAACUUCCUCAAAAUGAAAAGGACCAGAGAUGAAGGGAGGAGAUGCAUACGAGAGCAACGGCGGCGACGAGACCGUAAAGAGCGGCGAGGAUGUGAAAAAUCCGAUCCUGCCAGAGCGUAGAUUCGUUAAUGUCAUGCCACCAAUUCGAUGCAUCUUUCAGCUUCAAAGCUAUCACCGCCUCAUCCGCACCGUAACCCUCCAUCUCUCUCUAAUCUUCUUCGUCUUCUCUUUUCUCCUUUUUCUUUUUUCUAAUAUUAAUGUUAUUAAUCCAAAUCAAUAUUUGAUUGAUUUGAUUUCUGUUCUUUUAUGUGAAAAAACAAGAUUUGAGAAUCAAAAUCAAAAUCCUAAAAGAAAAAAAGAGUUUUAAUCAAAUUUGAUUUUAUGAUUUCUGUAUUUUUGUUUUUCUUUUUUCCUUCUAAGAAAUUAUUUUGGAGCAAAGCAAACAAGGCCGACCAAGGGGAGAGGCGUGGAAGAGGAACGAAGGGGAUGAUUUUUUAUUAGUUUCUUCUUUUGUGGAAGCUACCGGCAAUUGCCGGUAAUCAGUUCGAGAAAUGACAGGAUAUGUAUGGAUGGGAUGAUCUUACGUGUCCUUAGGCAACCGUCAAUGAAUACUGUACUGCCAAAUGCCGGAAUUGUAUUGGAUAAGGCUUUAGGGUUACAGGUUUUAAGUAGACCCACUGUACGCGUGUCCUAUUACGUGUUUUAAACUGUAUAAAUUUUAUUAAUUUUUACAA
This is a long non-coding RNA of Gossypium raimondii (Peruvian cotton), 952 nucleotides long. RefSeq lists it as uncharacterized. The transcript is spliced from 3 exons. The record is from RefSeq and is a predicted model, not a curated record. Lineage: Eukaryota; Viridiplantae; Streptophyta; Magnoliopsida; Malvales; Malvaceae.